RNAcentral lists this ribosomal RNA (506 nucleotides) under uncultured bacterium. RNAcentral's name for it is "partial 16S ribosomal RNA". It matches the Rfam family "Bacterial small subunit ribosomal RNA", at positions 29 to 523 of the family's 1533-position model. The record is from RNAcentral.
AGUGAACGCUGGCGGUAGGCCUAACACAUGCAAGUCGAACGGCAGCACAGGAGAGCUUGCUCUCUGGGUGGCGAGUGGCGGACGGGUGAGGAAUACAUCGGAAUCUACUCUGUCGUGGGGGAUAACGUAGGGAAACUUACGCUAAUACCGCAUACGACCUACGGGUGAAAGCAGGGGACCUUCGGGCCUUGCGCGAUUGACUGAGCCGAUGUCUGAUUAGCUAGUUGGCGGGGGAAAGGCCCACCAAGGCGACGAUCCGUAGCUGGUCUGAGAGGAUGAUCAGCCACACUGGAACUGAGACACGGUCCAGACUCCUACGGGAGGCAGCAGUGGGGAAUAUUGGACAAUGGGCGCAAGCCUGAUCCAGCCAUACCGCGUGGGUGAAGAGGGCCUUCGGGUUGUAAAGCCCUUUUGUUGGGAAAGAAAUCCAGCUGGCUAAUACCCGGUUGGGAUGACGGUACCCAAAGAAUAAGCACCGGCUAACUUCGUGCCAGCCGCCGCGGUAA